RNAcentral lists this non-coding RNA (26 nucleotides) under Homo sapiens (human). Lineage: Eukaryota; Metazoa; Chordata; Mammalia; Primates; Hominidae. The record is from RNAcentral.
UCCAGAAGCUGAGGUGCAAGGAUCCC